Molecule: long non-coding RNA, 2904 nt
Filed under: Homo sapiens (human)
Lineage: Eukaryota; Metazoa; Chordata; Mammalia; Primates; Hominidae
Description: long non-coding RNA NONHSAT126923.2
Source: RNAcentral
AUUGUGGACCCGAGAAGCAGAGAGCGAGAGGGGGAAGAGGAGCGUGCAAGCGGAAAAGACGGGCCUCUUCCUCCGACUCCCGAGCGCGAGGCCCUCAUUUUGGGUUCUCAGCGAACGGCGGCAGCGGCGGCGGCUGGAACAAUCACUCGGCCAAGGGCGACAGCCAACUGCUGUGAGUGCACGGGGAGAGGCCCAGGCAGCGGCGGCGGCGGCGGCUCUCGGGUUGCGGUGAAGAAUGUCAGCCACUAGCGUGGAUCAGAGACCUAAAGGGCAAGGAAAUAAAGUUUCAGUACAAAACGGUUCGAUUCAUCAAAAAGAUGCUGUAAAUGAUGAUGAUUUUGAGCCAUACUUAAGUAGCCAGACAAAUCAGGUAAGUCUUCUGACAGUUUCAGAUCCAUACAUGCCUAGUUACUAUGCUCCAUCCAUUGGAUUUCCAUAUUCUCUUGGGGAAGCAGCGUGGUCCACAGCUGGAGACCAGCCUAUGCCAUAUCUGACAACCUAUGGACAAAUGAGUAAUGGAGAACAUCACUAUAUACCAGAUGGUGUAUUUAGUCAACCUGGGGCAUUAGGAAAUACCCCUCCAUUUCUUGGUCAACAUGGAUUUAACUUUUUUCCUGGUAAUGCUGAUUUCUCUACAUGGGGGACAAGUGGAUCUCAGGGACAAUCAACACAAAGUUCUGCUUAUAGUAGCAGUUAUGGCUAUCCACCUAGUUCUCUUGGGAGAGCUAUUACUGAUGGACAGGCUGGAUUUGGCAAUGAUACUUUGAGUAAGGUGCCUGGCAUUAGCAGUAUUGAGCAAGGCAUGACUGGACUGAAAAUUGGUGGUGACCUGACAGCUGCAGUGACAAAAACUGUAGGUACAGCUUUGAGCAGCAGUGGUAUGACUAGCAUUGCAACCAAUAGUGUGCCCCCAGUUAGCAGUGCAGCACCUAAACCAACCUCCUGGGCUGCCAUUGCCAGAAAGCCUGCCAAACCUCAACCGAAACUUAAACCCAAGGGCAAUGUGGGAAUUGGGGGUUCUGCUGUACCACCACCUCCUAUAAAACACAACAUGAAUAUUGGAACUUGGGAUGAAAAAGGGUCAGUGGUAAAGGCUCCACCAACCCAACCAGUUCUGCCUCCUCAAACUAUAAUCCAGCAGCCUCAGCCAUUAAUUCAACCACCACCAUUGGUGCAAAGCCAACUGCCUCAACAGCAGCCUCAACCACCACAACCACAGCAGCAACAAGGACCUCAGCCACAGGCCCAGCCUCACCAAGUGCAGCCUCAACAGCAGCAGCUGCAGAAUCGCUGGGUAGCUCCUCGUAACAGGGGAGCAGGCUUCAACCAGAACAAUGGAGCGGGCAGUGAAAACUUUGGUUUAGGUGUUGUACCUGUCAGUGCUUCACCUUCUAGUGUAGAAGUGCAUCCCGUGCUGGAAAAGCUAAAGGCCAUAAACAACUAUAAUCCCAAAGACUUUGAUUGGAAUCUGAAGAAUGGACGUGUGUUUAUAAUUAAAAGCUACUCUGAGGAUGACAUACAUCGUUCCAUUAAAUACUCUAUCUGGUGUAGUACUGAGCAUGGUAAUAAGCGUUUGGAUGCAGCUUACCGUUCCCUGAAUGGGAAAGGCCCACUCUAUUUACUCUUCAGUGUGAAUGGCAGUGGACAUUUUUGUGGAGUGGCUGAAAUGAAGUCUGUUGUGGACUAUAAUGCGUAUGCUGGUGUCUGGUCUCAGGAUAAGUGGAAGGGCAAAUUUGAAGUUAAAUGGAUCUUUGUCAAAGAUGUUCCCAAUAACCAAUUACGGCAUAUUCGCUUAGAAAAUAAUGAAAAGCGUCAAGAAGAGGAGGAAGCCAUGCGUAGGGAGAGAAAUAGAAACAAACAAUAACCGUAUGAAGAUGUCCUGUUAAAUUUACAACACUAACGAUGUAGACUCUGGAAAUGCCUAAUAAGUCAAAGAAGACGUAUUAAAGCUCUUUUCUGCUUAAGGUGACAUCUUUGAACACUUUAACACAAAGUUGACUCUUCUCGUAAUGGUUUUCAUCAGCGCAUCUGCCCUUAUACUCUUCACCAAACACACUUGAGAACUGUAACUUCGUCAAGCACUUUCUGUCCUGAAGCUUUUACCAGUAUCUGCUGUCUUUUGUAAUUAUGCAUCCUAGCUAAGGCACAGAAGACUGAAUGAAUGCAAGGAUUCAUUAACUCUUUGAAUUUGUUAAAUACUAACAGUUAACCAUUAGAAGUGGUUCAAUGAUGUAAGAGUCACACUGCUUCAACUUUUUCUUUGUUGUAGUUUUUAAAUUGUCGAUUUUUAGCUAUUUGACAGAUUAAAAGCAAAAUAAUCAUGCCAUAUUUAGUCCUGGAGUUCAAGUCUAAAUGUUGAUGUGAAAAAUUAUUGUAGUAAACUUUUAAUAUGGCAAAGCAACCUUAAGCUCUAUUUUAGCCAAAUGAAACAUAAUCUGAAAUUAUAUUAGAACAUUUCCCUUGUCUUCAAACUGUUUGGUGUAACAGAAUAUUGAUAUGCAGCUUGGUGGAUUUCACCAGUUAAUGCACAUUCUUCUUCCCUCCUCCCCCCAUUAAUAUGUAUACUGAAAAAUGUGCAUUUGUCUGAGGAAUUAUUUUGUUUGCUACCACUUAAUGAAUCUCAAAAUUUUGAGUAAAUGUACCUCAGUCUAAUCAGACUUUUUAUGACCUUUAUAACUACAUUUAAAACCCUUAAUUCCUAUUUCUGGGUGUUUGCGAGCCUGAUUGCUAUCAUGAAGUAAAAAUUUAUUACUCUAGGUAUUCACUAGCUAAAUAAACAUAGUUCUUGUUUAGCAAGCAUAUGUUGUUCCUCAGCUCUUUUCUCCAGCUUUUGCAGUGUCCUGGCAUCCUUAAAAUACUUUGAAAAUAUGGCCUUGAUCCAUGGAUUAAAUCAGUAUCUAAGUG